CCAGACACUCCGGCGUCAAUAAUACGCAGCCGCUGUCAGAUCUCUUAGCAACUGUGACCUACGGGAGGCGCACACGCUAUAAUCAGAAGGGCUGGCUGACGUUAGGAAUCGUUCACUUUGACAGACAUGACUUGCGCAACUCUGAAGUACCUUCGUGGACUCUUGUUUGAGAAACGCCGAAUUGGUCAUUUCCUGGAGUUCGGUUUCAGUUCAUUCGACUCGGAUUAUUUCGACUUUAUACACGCGACUGAAACUCGUUACAAAACUAAAGUACAUAAUUAAUCAUACGUUAUAUAUUAAUCGUAAAUCUACCAAUACACAGUAGAAACAUCUGGAUUUCAUUUUGUAAAUAAAGCAAUGAGAAUUU
Limulus polyphemus (Atlantic horseshoe crab) is the source of this 367-nucleotide long non-coding RNA. RefSeq lists it as uncharacterized. The transcript has 2 exons. The record is from RefSeq and is a predicted model, not a curated record. Lineage: Eukaryota; Metazoa; Arthropoda; Merostomata; Xiphosura; Limulidae.